GACAGAGGUGCCGAGCGUUAGGCGGAAUCACUGGGCUUAAAGCGUGUGUAGGCGGGCGAUCAAGUACCUUGUGAAAUCCCACGGCUCAACCGUGGAACCGCUGGGUAUACUGGUUGUCUUGAGCCGGCUAGGGGCGGAAGCGGAACAGACGGUGGAGCGGUGAAAUGCGUAGAUAUCGUCUGGAACGCCGAAGGUGAAAACAGCUCGCUGGGGCCGCGCUGACGCUGAGACACGAAAGCCAGGGGAGCGAACGGG
Molecule: ribosomal RNA, 255 nt
Filed under: uncultured bacterium
Lineage: Bacteria
Description: partial 16S ribosomal RNA
Rfam family: Bacterial small subunit ribosomal RNA
Source: RNAcentral